GUGUGGUUCGUUCUGGGUUUGGGAUCUGUGGAUCUUUCAUUUUGGAGGUUCCACCGAGAUUCCCGAUCCCGGUUCCGAUCCCGAUCCCUAUCCGGAGAACACUCGACAUCACUGGGAGGUAUACAAGCCUGUAAGGUAAAAGCUUCGAAAGAACCUUAUAUCAAGCUGGUAUUCUAAAGUUAUAUGGUAAUUAAAAAAAAAAA
Marmota flaviventris (yellow-bellied marmot) is the source of this 203-nucleotide non-coding RNA. NCBI's taxonomy places the organism in Eukaryota, Metazoa, Chordata, Mammalia, Rodentia, Sciuridae. The record is from RefSeq and is a predicted model, not a curated record.